RNAcentral lists this ribosomal RNA (309 nucleotides) under uncultured eukaryote. Its description in RNAcentral is "partial 18S ribosomal RNA". It matches the Rfam family "Eukaryotic small subunit ribosomal RNA", at positions 1470 to 1796 of the family's 1831-position model. The record is from RNAcentral.
CCCUUAGAUGUUCUGGGCGGCCCGCGCACUACAAUGGCGUGUGCAGCGAGUGCCGAAGUAGAGUUUUCCGAGGUAUUCUUGCAAUGCUCGUUUUGAUGGGGAUAGACCCUUGCAACUGUUGGUUUUGAACGAGGAAUUCCUUGUAAGCAUGGUUUAUCAUCCGACGUUGAAUGCGUCCCUGCCCUUUGUACACACCGCCCGUCGCUCCUACCGAUGAGUCGUCCGGUGAAGUUCGUAGACCUCGUGAUCGCGGAUCACUGGGGGAAGCAAAAUGAACCUCGCGGUUUAGAGGAAGGAGAAGUCGUAACA